CUUGGUCAUUUAGAGGAAGUAAAAGUCGUAACAAGGUUUCCGUAGGUGAACCUGCGGAAGGAUCAUUAUUGAUUUCAAAUGAGAUGUGCUGGCCCCUUCAAAGGGUAAUGUGCACUCUCAACCUUUACAUCCACCUGUGCACCUUUCGUAGACAAUAAGGAUUCACGUCCCUGUCUAUGUUUUUAUUACACAUGAUUUAUUAUGGAUUGUAGUGUGGCUUUUCAAGCCAAUAAACUUAUACAACUUUCAACAAUGGAUCUCUUGGUUCUCGCAUCGAUGAAGAACGCAGCGAAUUGCGAUAUGUAAUGUGAAUUGCAGAAUUCAGUGAAUCAUCGAAUCUUUGAACGCACAUUGCACCCUCAGGUCUUUUCCAGAGGGUAUGCCUGUUUGAGUGUCGUUGACCCAUCAAUGCAGACAAGUCUUUUUUGAUUUGCUUUCUGUACUUGGAAGUUGAAGGCUGCCGGCGUCAUUGCCAGCUCCUUUUAAAUUUAUUAGCGGGACUUUGAAGACUCGGCUUCAGUUUGAUAAUGCAUCUAUGCUGUCGCCGAAGAACGUUUGUCUGGCUUAUAGCUGUCCCUUUGGGACUGUCUCUUAUGAGGCACAACGCAAUCAACUCUUGACCUCAAAUUCAGGUAGGACUACCCGCUGAACUUAAGCAUAUCAAUAAGCGGAGGAAAAGAAACUANCCAGGAUUCCCCUAGUAACGGCGAGUGAAGAGGGAAAAGCUCAAAUUUAAAAUCUGGCAGUCUCCUUUGAUUGUCCGAGUUGUAAAUUAGAGAAGUGUUAUCCGCGCUGGACCGUGCAAAAGUCUCUUGGAAAGGAGCAUCAUAGAGGGUGACAAUCCCGUCUUUGGCACGGACUACCAGGGCAUUUGUGAUGCGCUCUCGAAGAGUCGAGUUGUUUGGGAAUGCAGCUCUAAAUGGGUGGUAAAUUCCAUCUAAAGCUAAAUAUUGGCGAGAGACCGAUAGCGCACAAGUACCGUGAGGGAAAGAUGAAAAGGACUUUGAAAAGAGAGUUAAACAGUACGUGAAAUUGUUGAAAGGGAAACGCUUGAAGUCAGUUCAUGUCCUUCAGAAAUCAACUUUGAUCUUCGGGUCGAGUGCACUUUCUGUUGUGACGGGUCAGCAUCAAUUUUGACCGCCGGAGAAAGGCUUGGGGAAAGUGACAUCCUUGCUGAUGUGUUAUAGCCCCUUGUACGUAUACGGUGGUUGGGAUUGAGGAACGCAGCGCAUUAACUGGGGCGAAUUCUGCUCACACAUGUGCUUAGGAUGCUGGCUUAAUGGCUUUAAUCGACCCGUCUUGAAACACGGACC
This 1313-nucleotide ribosomal RNA is filed under the name uncultured fungus. RNAcentral's name for it is "eukaryotic LSU rRNA". The stretch from base 618 to 1313 matches the Rfam family "Eukaryotic large subunit ribosomal RNA", at positions 1 to 667 of the family's 3401-position model. The record is from RNAcentral. Lineage: Eukaryota; Fungi.